UCCAAUAAUAGGAAUUCUAUAUCUUUACUUCUGGACGACUGUAAAAACAAAACGUUACGUUUUAUGGCAUCUUAUAGUUUACAUAGUGUUUUCAAAUACAUUCACUCCACGUUAAAGACAUUUCUUUUUUUUUUUGUGAAUUAUAUCUCAAUUUUUUUUUUUUAAUUUUUUAUUGGAUUUUAGGUUUUGGGGUACAUGAGCAGAGCUGCUAUUUCACUUUUUUAAGGGAAGAAAAUAAAGUUUGAAAAAGUUUCCACUCGGAGUUCCACCCAGUAAUCAAUGGUGAGGUGUGAAACCUGGGCUUCCCGACGUGCUAUGCGGUGCUCUCCAUUUUAAUACGGCUGCCUGAGGAACCAGCUGGCUGGAAGAGUGGCUGUGGGCGGUUCACGGCCAGACUGCGAUGGUGGCGAGGCACGGUGACUGGAAACAUUUGAACAUGGACAUGAAGGAAGUGAGCAAAGGGGUGGAGGAAAGAAGUAGAGAAGGAGGAAGAGGAUUCCAGGCAGCGUUACACCCACUCCACAACAGAAGACUAGUUUCUGAAGGUGGGUGGGUGGGAGUCAGGGGAGGCAUAAUGGUAUUUAUCUUGCUGCCAUCACACUGGUUCAGAUAGAAUUAGGCCCCUUGAAUGCCUCAUCAAUGUGGAAAAAAUCUGAUGGUGAGAAAUAACCCUUUGGUUAGAAAUAACCUGAAUCUUAUGGUAAUUAUUAAUAUGAAAGCACGACUACAGUUUAAGCAGGGUGAGAUUUCACAGAAUCUAGGACUAUAGGUGCAUUUAAAAAGACAAGGAAAGAAAUUACGUGAGUACAAAAAACAGAAUUGCUAGUAGGGAAAGGGUAACAUGCUCGCUUAUUUGUUUGGCUUUGAUCUGGGUAUGAUAGAAGCCUGGGGAAGGAGCCCGUGGGCAGGUCACAGUUAUGCUUUUGAAGGUGACCAGUGGUACUGAUGUGCCCCAAGUGUGCCUGCUUCAUCGUCAUAUGCCUAAUUAGGUAAGCAAGGGGUUCACAGUGGAGAUUAUUUCAUUUAUUAGGUUCGAAUGAAACCUGUGGGAAUUGGUAAGAUGUGAUCUUAAAUUAACAUACUUCCUGCAGCACCUGCGAUGUGGUAUUAUCAGAAUUAAUUAAACAGUCUGAAAUCGCGGGCACGGUGUCAGGCUGGGAUAACCAGAUGCCUGAGAGCCUGCAUGUCUGGGCUGGGUCUCCAAACGCUUGAGCAGUGUCUUUCUCUCCCUCUCCCCACAUCCUGACGGGUCUCACUGUGGAGCCUUUGAAGCUUCUGUAGACGUGGUGGGGGAUUCUAUGGGGAUGCAUAUAAACAAGUAAACCACUGUUGCUCAGAUUUUAAUACUUUCCUAAGUAUUGCCUGGGAUGCCAAUGAUUUUCUGAAGGGG
Molecule: long non-coding RNA, 1390 nt
Filed under: Callithrix jacchus (white-tufted-ear marmoset)
Lineage: Eukaryota; Metazoa; Chordata; Mammalia; Primates; Cebidae
Description: lncRNA (ENSCJAG00000075404.1)
Source: RNAcentral